AUGCAAAAGACUUUCAAGCCUAGUGCAAUGGCUACAAACAGACUCCUGGGUAGUGUGUGCGGCCUGUUGAUUGUAUAGGCUGCCCUAAGGGAUCCCGGAAACAGCC
Small nucleolar RNA from Erinaceus europaeus (western European hedgehog), 106 nucleotides. Its record names the gene SNORA70. It matches the Rfam family "Small nucleolar RNA SNORA70". From Rfam's summary of the family: snoRNA U70 seems to be exclusive to mammals and is a member of the H/ACA class of snoRNA which contain H (ANANNA) and ACA box motifs. H/ACA box snoRNAs are involved in the conversion of uridines to pseudouridines (5-ribosyluracil) a constituent of structural RNAs (transfer, ribosomal, small nuclear, and small nucleolar). NCBI's taxonomy places the organism in Eukaryota, Metazoa, Chordata, Mammalia, Eulipotyphla, Erinaceidae. The record is from Ensembl.